CCUGCUCUGGAGCUGCUGCGCGGGGCCGAACCCAAAGGCUGUUCUUCCAAAAAUUAAAAUUGAUUGGGAGCGCACCUCUUACCUAAUUUCCCUUUUAGAGAAGAAUCCGAAGUGUUGCGAUUUAACGUUUUUGGUCGGAAUGUCGCCGUGCUCUAGAGAGGGUUUAAACGCUCCCCAGCCGGCAGUCGUCUCAAAAACAGACCCCAGAGGAGUGGUGACAGACACUUCAUCCUCCAACAGUACAUGAAAGGAUCAGAAAGUAACUCUGCUAUUUAAACUCUUAACAAUUGAUGCAAAAAAUAACUGUGCAAGGAAAUAAAUCCAGUUUGGUAACAGGUAUUUAUGAGGGAGCACCAGUGCUGAGGUCUCUUUGCAUAAAACCAAUUUUUUAUUGGUAAAACAUGAGUCCAAGUCCACAUUCUUCUUCUGUAACUGCAUUUAUGUGCUCCUGGAUGUCUGUGGACAGCACAAUCCUUGAAUUUUUCACAAUAGAAAGGAGGCAUCAGUAUUGACUGAUAGAGGUUACACAUGUGAAUUGCUGUGUUGGUCACACAGCCCAGCAAAAGUGUAUUAAGUAACAGUUGGCAUGACUUAAUAUGUGCUUUGAGUGGAUCUGAACCUUGAAAAUGAGUAUCAGAGUUCAGAGAUUCACAUUUCACAUAAAUUUAAAGCUGAGCAGGUCCAUCCAGAGGUGUUUCCGCUGAGGAUGAUUCUGUCUGUGCAGAAAUCUGGGAGGCUCUGCCCAGCCUUCACCUUCCCUGUGUUAACUCAGCUACUGCAGUGCCCAGGGAACACCCAAGGUACAGUCACAGGGUUCUGUCAUUUUUGUUGCCAUUUAGAAGCUGCUUCUCAGUGUGGUGAAAGGAAACCCCAGGAAAUCGGUUCUCCUUUCCUUCUUUGUCGGGAAAGGUGUUCCCCCAAAAGCUGCAGGUGGAACAAGGGGAGCUGGAGAGGAGAAUGGUGUCAUCACCUGAGGGGAAACACAAAGCAGAAAGAAACGAGGAGGGGAAAUUUCGGUGCUUAUUUUUAGACU
This is a long non-coding RNA of Taeniopygia guttata (zebra finch), 1033 nucleotides long. RefSeq lists it as uncharacterized. Lineage: Eukaryota; Metazoa; Chordata; Aves; Passeriformes; Estrildidae. The record is from RefSeq and is a predicted model, not a curated record.